This 727-nucleotide ribosomal RNA is filed under the name Pseudomonas sp. S1ID6. RNAcentral's name for it is "bacterial SSU rRNA". It matches the Rfam family "Bacterial small subunit ribosomal RNA", at positions 48 to 766 of the family's 1533-position model. Lineage: Bacteria; Pseudomonadati; Pseudomonadota; Gammaproteobacteria; Pseudomonadales; Pseudomonadaceae. The record is from RNAcentral.
CUAACACAUGCAAGUCGAGCGGUAGAGAGAAAGCUUUGCUUCUCUUGAGAGCGGCGGACGGGGUGAGUAAUGCCUAGGAAUCUGCCUGGUAGUGGGGGAUAACGUUCGGAAACGGACGCUAAUACCGCAUACGUCCUACGGGAGAAAGCAGGGGACCUUCGGGCCUUGCGCUAUCAGAUGAGCCUAGGUCGGAUUAGCUAGUUGGUGAGGUAAUGGCUCACCAAGGCGACGAUCCGUAACUGGUCUGAGAGGAUGAUCAGUCACACUGGAACUGAGACACGGUCCAGACUCCUACGGGAGGCAGCAGUGGGGAAUAUUGGACAAUGGGCGAAAGCCUGAUCCAGCCAUGCCGCGUGUGUGAAGAAGGUCUUCGGAUUGUAAAGCACUUUAAGUUGGGAGGAAGGGUUGUAGAUUAAUACUCUGCAAUUUUGACGUUACCGACAGAAUAAGCACCGGCUAACUCUGUGCCAGCAGCCGCCAGUAAUACAGAGGGGGCAAGCGUUAAUCGGAAUUACUGGGCGUAAAGCGCGCGUAGGUGGUUUGUUAAGUUGGAUGUGAAAUCCCCGGGCUCAACCUGGGAACUGCAUUCAAAACUGACUGACUAGAGUAUGGUAGAGGGUGGUGGAAUUUCCUGUGUAGCGGUGAAAUGCGUAGAUAUAGGAAGGAACACCAGUGGCGAAGGCGACCACCUGGACUAAUACUGACACUGAGGUGCGAAAGCGUGGGG